UACGGAGGGUGCGAGCGUUGUCCGGAAUCACUGGGCGUAAAGGGCGCGUAGGCGGCGCGAGCAGUCGGCGGUGAAAGCCCGGAGCUCAACUCCGGGUCGGCCGUCGAUACUCUCGUGCUUGAGCACUGUAGAGGCAGGUGGAAUUCCGGGUGUAGCGGUGAAAUGCGCAGAUAUCAGGAGGAACACCAAUUGCGAAGGCAGCUCGCUGGGACGUUACUGACGCUGAGACGCGAAAGCGUGGGGAGCAAACAGG
RNAcentral lists this ribosomal RNA (253 nucleotides) under uncultured bacterium. Its description in RNAcentral is "partial 16S ribosomal RNA". It matches the Rfam family "Bacterial small subunit ribosomal RNA", at positions 524 to 776 of the family's 1533-position model. The record is from RNAcentral.